GACGAACGCUGGCGGCGUGCUUAACACAUGCAAGUCGAACGGAAAGGCCCCUUUGGGGGUACUCGAGUGGCGAACGGGUGAGUAACACGUGAGUAACCUGCCCUUGACUUCGGGAUAACUUCAGGAAACUGGGGCUAAUACCGGAUAGGAAUCCUUGCUGCAUGGUGGGGGUUGGAAAGCUUCGUCGGUUUUGGAUGGACUCACGGCUUAUCAGCUUGGUGGUGGGGUAGUGGCUUACCAAGGCUUUGACGGGUAGCCGGCCUGAGAGGGCGACCGGCCACAUUGGGACUGAGAUACGGCCCAGACUCCUACGGGAGGCAGCAGUGGGGAAUAUUGCACAAUGGGCGGAAGCCUGAUGCAGCAACGCCGCGUGCGGGAUGACGGCCUUCGGGUUGUAAACCGCUUUCAGCAGGGGCGAAGCUUGUGGUGACGGUACCUGCAGAAGAAGCACCGGCUAACUACGUG
Molecule: ribosomal RNA, 465 nt
Filed under: uncultured bacterium
Lineage: Bacteria
Description: partial 16S ribosomal RNA
Rfam family: Bacterial small subunit ribosomal RNA
Source: RNAcentral